Molecule: microRNA precursor, 84 nt
Organism: Erinaceus europaeus (western European hedgehog)
Lineage: Eukaryota; Metazoa; Chordata; Mammalia; Eulipotyphla; Erinaceidae
Product: microRNA 34b
Source: Ensembl
GUGCUCGGUUUGUAGGCAGUGUAAUUAGCUGAUUGUACUCUGCGGUUUGCAAUCACUAACUCCACUGCCAUCAAAACAAGGCAC